ACAGCACUUCCACCAGAAGACAGAUCAGUCACUCAAGAAGACUUCUGGAGCUAGAGGAGCACUUAGGGUCAUUCAGCACACACGGGGAGAUUGGGAUCCAGAGAGAGAAAAUUGGGGUUAUGGUAAGCACGAUGGCAUCUGCUUCCUGGAGCAAAGUGAAACGGUGCCCUGGAGUGAUGGAAACGUGGUCCCUUUAAGUACAGAAAAAAAUACCCUUUCUGCUCUCAGGUCUAACCUUUGAGCCUCACUCACCUGCAGCUGGCAGAGCAGAGAUGGGGCUGUCUGUGAUGUCACAGAGCCUGGGAACCAGGGAAUGUUAGGGACAGGGGUUUGGACUGACUGUGAAGGGAGGAGGGAGAAAGCAAAUGCUGGCCGUUUCUCCAGUGGUCUUUCCCGCUGUUCCCAAUGCCAUGCAGUCCUUUGGGCGCACUGAAACGAAGUCCUGGUGCCUCUUGUGAAUGCAUCCUCUGGUGAGGAUGGCUGAGCCGUAAGGGGGCAGUAUAGUACCGGAAGCCAAAGACCUGGGUCCGCAUUCUGUCUCCUACCCAGCUAGGUGGUAAUCUUAGGCCAAUAGACUUUACUCCUCGGUUUCUUCCUCUUUAAAAUGGGAACAAUAAUAAUUAUUAUUAAUUUAUCUAAUUAAGCAAUUGAAUCAGUUAUACUUUCGGGAUUAAGUGCGAGCAGGAAAACACUUAACAUGGUGUCUAGGUGUAGUAAACACUCAAGAAAUUGUUACUAAUGUUAUGUGCAAAAAUAAAGGCACAUUCUCUGCUCUUUCAGGAAAAGGAGAAUCAUUUUAUAUUGGAAUCCUGGCAAAAUCUCUCACCUUUAGGGCACUCUCUAUUCCUUUAUUUAGGACAGCCGAGUACUAUUUUGGGAAGCCAAAUUAGGUUGAAAUGUUCUCAAUCAGUGCUAUUUUUGGAGGCUUAUAGGAGGUCACCUGAUACAAGUGGAACAGAAGAAAGCAAAAAUUCAGCACAGUUUUGGUGUCCUGGUGGAAAGGUGGGUGGGGGUUGAGGUGUGAGGGAGGUGUGACCUAACCAUUGCAAAUACUUGAUGGUGGGUUAAAUAGUCUUUUAAACCUCACUUGUAAAGAAAUACUCCCAAUGGUAACAUUGAAAGUUGUCAACUCUGGCUGCAAGUGAGUUUCAACUGAGAUGUUUUUAAAAUGUAAGAUUGCCCUGGGGCCUAACUCCAGAUAAAUUAGCAUCCCUGGGGGGAGUGGCAGGUGGAGCCUGGGGAUCAGUAUUUUUACAAGCUUUCUAGGUGAUUCUUACAUGAAAUCAGGACUGAAAACUACUGGAGUUCUCAUCGUGGCUCAGUGGUUAAUGAAUCUGAUUAGGAACCAUGAGGUUUCAGUGUUCGAUCCCUGGUCCCACUCAGAGGGUUAUGGAUCUGGUGUUGCCGUGAGCUGUGUAUAGGUCGCAGAUGCAGCUCGGAUCCCUCGUUGCUGUGGCUGUGGCGUAGGCUGACUACAGCUCCAAUUAGACCCCUAUCCUAGGAACCUCCAUGUGCCGCAGGUGUGGCUCUAGGAAAAAAAAAACAAAAAACAAAGAUGGAAAACUACUAACUUUUUAUUAGGAAGCAAAGACUUCCCUUAGAGUCACGGGAGGAAUUUCUAAAAAUGCCGCACCUGGUGAGUUCCCGUCAUGGCGCAGUGGUUAACGUAUCCGACUAGGAACCAUGACGUUGCGGGUUCGGUCCCUGGCCUUGCUCAGUGGGUUAACGAUCCGGCGUUGCCGUGAGCUGUGGUGUAGGUUGCAGACGCCGCUCGGAUCCCGCGUUGCUGUGGCUCUGGCGUAGGCUGGUGGCUACAGCUCCGAUUCAACCCCUAGCCUGGGAACCUCCAUAUGCUGCGGGAGCGGCCCAAGAAAUAGC
RNAcentral lists this long non-coding RNA (1878 nucleotides) under Sus scrofa (pig). Its description in RNAcentral is "lncRNA (ENSSSCG00000062181.1)". The record is from RNAcentral. Lineage: Eukaryota; Metazoa; Chordata; Mammalia; Artiodactyla; Suidae.